This 225-nucleotide long non-coding RNA is filed under the name Elaeis guineensis (African oil palm). RNAcentral's name for it is "long non-coding RNA (EGUI_LNC065082)". Lineage: Eukaryota; Viridiplantae; Streptophyta; Magnoliopsida; Arecales; Arecaceae. The record is from RNAcentral.
CAACGUGGACCAACUGUCGCCAACAUCUACUACAAAGGCUCAUUAAGACUCAUGUUGAUGUGUUAAUCAAACUCCAGCAACCUCACUGUGAGUAGUAGUAUCAUCUCAGAUCAAAGAAUCAGUCAUACAACUACAGCAUCGAGAAAGUCACUAACGAGUGAGCAGACAUCCACGUGACUUCUUGUGUUGGUCACACUCAGUGCUAAUUGUUCUUUAAUAACCACC